GUCCAGCUGACGAGUCCCACAUAGGACGAAACGCGCAUCUUGGAU
RNAcentral lists this non-coding RNA (45 nucleotides) under Schistosoma haematobium. The record is from RNAcentral. Lineage: Eukaryota; Metazoa; Platyhelminthes; Trematoda; Strigeidida; Schistosomatidae.